UCUCCCUAUAGCGCAAUGGGUAGCGUGUUGGACUUUUUAUCCAAAUGCCGUGCGUUCGAAUCCCAACUGGAAGAA
Molecule: non-coding RNA, 75 nt
Organism: Trichonephila clavipes
Lineage: Eukaryota; Metazoa; Arthropoda; Arachnida; Araneae; Nephilidae
Source: the annotation of a GenBank genome assembly